This 2220-nucleotide long non-coding RNA is filed under the name Homo sapiens (human). RNAcentral describes it as "HSALNT0133645". Lineage: Eukaryota; Metazoa; Chordata; Mammalia; Primates; Hominidae. The record is from RNAcentral.
CAGUCGCGCGGGUAGGUGACCGGGUUGGAUUUCAAAGUCCAGCAGGAAAUCCUGCCCUCUGGGUUGCACUUCCUGGAUGAGCCUCUGACGUCUCAAGCAGCAUUGUUUUAAUGCUUUGAUGAAGCUCAGCACGCUGCCGAAAUCUCGGCAGUAUUUUUUCUUUUCUUUUUGCAUGUGAGAGAAAGGACAACAAAUUGCAGUUUUAUCCAUUUGUAUUAUUUCUUUAGAAAACUCAACACUCUUUUUGUUGGAGGUGGGGAAAUGAGAAGGUCUUUGUGGGAAGAAACAAAUCACAAAAGCAAUUAAGAGAGCUCAAACAAUGGGUUACUCUCAUCUGGAUUAUUGUAGUCACCUUGUCACUGGUAUCUCUGCUUUCUCCUAACCCCCAUCUAAUCUCCAAAAAAUCAGAGCAUGUCACUCCUGGCCCCCAAAUCCCCCCAGUGACUCCGCCCUCCCCACCCUGCUCAGAAUUAAAGUCAAUGAUCUUUUUUUUUUUUUUUUUUGAGAUGGAUUCUUGUGCUGUCACCCAGGCUGGAGUGCAGUAAGUAGUGUGAUCUCAGCUCACUGCAGCCUCCGCCUCCCAGAUUCAAGCGAUUCUCCUGCCUUAGCCUCCUGAGUAGUUGGGAUUACAGGUGCGCACAAUGCCUGGCUAAUUUUUAUAUUGUUAAUAGAGUUGGGGUUUCACCAUGUUGGCCAAGCUGGUCUUGAACUCCUGACCUCAGGUGAUCCACCCACCUUGGCCUCGCAAAGUACUGGGAUUACAGGCAUGAGCCACCAUGCCCAGCCUAAAGUCAAUUAUCUCACCACAGACCACAAGGCUACUUUGAUCCAACCAGCCCAUCUUAUAUACUACCACUUUCCUGUUUUCUCACAGUGCUCCAAUCACACUGGCCUUCUUUCUGGACUUCAAACAUGCCAAAUAUACUCUCCUUGAGGGACAUAGCACUUACUGCUACCUUUGUUUGGAAUGUUCUUUCCCAGAUACCCAUGUGGCACACCCAAAUGCUUGAGUGGCCCCUUAUUAGUGAGGCCUUCCUAUAGCAUUAUAUAUAAGAUGGAUAUAAGGUAGGACUCAGAACAUACUCCCUAUCCUCCUUACUCUACUUCACCUGACUCCAAACACUGUCACCACCUGACGUAGUACAUAUUUUAUUUUUUAUUUGUUUAGCAUCUGUCUGCCUCUAACUAGAAUGCAAGCUCCAUGAGGACAGAGAUUUUUGUUUUGUUUACCGCCAUAUUGUCAGCAGCUAGAGCAAUGUCUGGCAUGUAGUAGCACUCAAUGAAUAUUAAUUGAAUAAAUGAGCUACCUAAAAAAUAACUGCAUUGAUAUCAUAACCCAAGUAGUGUCUGAAAUAAUGUAAUGAAUUACCAGAAUGCAAAUGAAUUAUUUUCCAGAUGUCUUUAAGUUGGGUGUUGGAAAGUCAAUAUGCAUUUUUCCUACAAAUAUAAAGUAAGUGCUGUUAUUAUCCCCAUCUUAUGGAUAAGACAUCUGAUAUUUAGCUUAUGCAACUAUGCCUGUUUUCUGAUUUUGAGGCAUGUACCUCACCACUUAUACUAAAUUUCCAGGUCAGAUCAUAAAACCUUACGUAAGCCAUAAAAUUCAGAUAUAAAGUAGUCUAAAAAAAGGAAGGACCAGAAUGGAAGAUACCUAUCUUACACACAAACAGCUGUAUCUAGAGUAUAGGCUUCUUAGCUUUCUAGAUGUUUCACCCAGUUAUAGCUGUUCUUUGAUAGUGAUACAGUGAUAGAGGCAGGAGGCAGAGAAAUUCUAGGCAGAUGGGAAGAUCCCUGGCAAAGCACCACCCUAAAGCUGAAAAGCUUGAAACCACUGCCUAAAGUGAGAACUUAUAUUCCCGUUUUCCUGCUUGAAUGUUGUCUUUUCCUAAACUACCCAUAGCCUGCCCCACCCUAUCUUGUGCCUAUAAAGACCCCAGACUCAGCCAGCAGAGGGGAGAAACAGCUGGACAUCAGAGAGAAGCAGCCGGACUUCAGAGGGACAGCUUGAUGACAUAACUUUGGAGAAGAAUGCAGCCAGAGAUGGGUGGACUCCAGGGAAAGAUUACCUGCCGCCCCACCCUCUUUUCAGCUCCCCUUCCUGCUGAGAGCCACUUUCAUCGGCAAUAAAAUACACUGCAUUUGCUAUCCUUCGAUUUGUUUGUAUGACCUUAUUUCUCCUGGACGCCGGUCAAGAGCUCAGGAACCAUCAGUGCGAUACAAAAG